Molecule: small nuclear RNA, 110 nt
Organism: Ictidomys tridecemlineatus (thirteen-lined ground squirrel)
Lineage: Eukaryota; Metazoa; Chordata; Mammalia; Rodentia; Sciuridae
Source: Ensembl
GUGCUCGCUUCGGCAGCACAUAUACUAAAAUUGGAACGAUACAGAGAAGAUUAGUAUGGACCCUGAGAAAGGAUGACACGAAAAUUCAUGAAGAUAGGGGCUGGGGUUGU